Long non-coding RNA from Prunus mume (Japanese apricot), 370 nucleotides. RefSeq lists it as uncharacterized. NCBI's taxonomy places the organism in Eukaryota, Viridiplantae, Streptophyta, Magnoliopsida, Rosales, Rosaceae. The record is from RefSeq and is a predicted model, not a curated record.
AGGUUGCAGCAGCACUACCUCCCUCUACUGCUAAACUAGUUAUAGUUGUAGUUUAAUGGUGUUAUUGAACUAUCAAACACAGCCUCCUCUGUCUCUCUAUCUAUGUUAAGAUGCAACUGCAUUUUGGAGUGGCGCUCACUUGAAGGGAAUUUGGUGGUAGAAAUUAAAUCAAAAGCUCUGAUGUAACAGCAGAUGACGUCGUUGAUUGUAAUCCACACCGGAUGUCGAACUGGUCAAUUGCUAUAUGUGGUGGUGUUGCUGCUCUCGGCAAUCCACGUGUGUUCUUGUAAUUUGCCUUCAUUUUCCAAUUGUAACUUUGUUCCUCCUGCGUAUUGAGAAAAUAAUAAUAAUAAAUCUUUUUAGUGAAAAA